This 1358-nucleotide ribosomal RNA is filed under the name Protoperidinium sp. RNAcentral describes it as "partial large subunit ribosomal RNA". It matches the Rfam family "Eukaryotic large subunit ribosomal RNA", at positions 23 to 1464 of the family's 3401-position model. The record is from RNAcentral. Lineage: Eukaryota; Dinophyceae; Peridiniales; Protoperidiniaceae.
ACCCGCUGAAUUUAAGCAUAUAAGUAGGCAGUGUGUAGUUACCUAAGAAGGGUCCCCUUAGUAAUGGCGAAUGUACUUGGAUGGGCUCAAAGUGGAAGUUGGGGCACUUGGCGCUGAGUUGUAGUUUGAAGAUAUGCAACCAAUGAAUGUGCAAAUACAAAUCAUCAGAGCAUGAGUAUUGAGAAGACUGAGAAUCCUGUUUAUCAUAUGUCGUUCCUUGUCAUGUGUGGUGUGUUAUCCAUGAGUUAUACCCUCUGGGGUUGGCGUGUUAAGUGGCUGCUAGAGUUCAUCUAAAGGUGAAUAUUGAUCCAGGACCAACAAUGAAAACGUACCAUGGGGGAAAGGAGAAACAGGACUUUGAGCAGAGUGAUAAUAAUACUUGAACGUGCUGUACGUGAAAUGAGGCGAUCUCUGUUCGUAAUGGGAAGAUGUCUGAGUGCAAUCACGCCUGCCUGCCGUAGUCUAGGCAAGUGUGGAUGUGGGCACUAAACCAAGAAGAGGGUGUGCAGAGCAUCUUGCCUUGUAGGUCGGAGUCAGUUUGCUGUGUGGUAUUGCUGUGGGGUGGCUGUGUAGUUCCAUUUUCCUCAAAUGUGCAAAUGCAGAGGUCCCAGUCACCCACUUGUGCAAUGGGCAAGCUGGCUGGGAUGUCUGCAUCAGCCACUGACAUUUCGUGUGUGGAAAGCCUGGGUGUGGGCAGCUGUGCUUUUGCCCCAAAAAGAUGGUGCACUAUGCCUGUGAAGAGGUAAGUUCAGGGAGAAACCUGAUGAAGGCCUGCAGCGGUACUGACGCGCAAAUCGUUGGUCGUACAUCGGUAUAGGGGUGAAAGACUAAUCGAAUCAUCUAGUAGCUGGUUCCCUCUGAAGUUUCCCUCAGGAUAGCUAGGGCUGAACAGCUUUAUCAGGUAAAGCAAAUGAUUCAAGGAUAUGGGGGCAUCAUGCCCUUGACCUAUUCUCAAACUCUAAAUAGGUAAAGCCCUUAGAUUGCAUGCGUGAGCUCUUGGGAUCAGUGGAACCUCUAAGUGGGCCAUUCUUGGUAAGCAGAACUGGCAAUGAGGGAUGAACCUAAUGUCGGACUAAGAUGCCAGAGUGCCCACGCAUUAGAUACCAUAAAAGGGUGUUGGUUCAUACUAACAGCAGGACGGUGGUCAUGAAAGUUGAAAUCCGCUAAGGAGUGUGUAAUAACUCACCUGCCGAAUGGACUAGCCCUGAAAAUGGAUAGCGCUCCAGCGGGUGAUUGAUGUUGGACCACUGCUGCUGCUUUGUUGUAUCUAUGAGUAGGAGGGUGUGGGGCUUUGUGUGGAAGCCUGAGGCGCAAGCCUAGGUGAAACAAGUCUGAGAGCAGAUCUUGGUGGUAGUAGC